Molecule: ribosomal RNA, 460 nt
Filed under: uncultured bacterium
Lineage: Bacteria
Description: partial 16S ribosomal RNA
Rfam family: Bacterial small subunit ribosomal RNA
Source: RNAcentral
CCUACGGGAGACAGCAGUGAGGAAUAUUGGUCAAUGGACGAGAGUCUGAACCAGCCAAGUAGCGUGAAGGAUGACUGCCCUAUGGGUUGUAAACUUCUUUUAUAAAGGAAUAAAACGAGGCACGUGUGCCUUUUUGCAUGUACUUUAUGAAUAAGGAUCGGCUAACUCCGUGCCAGCAGCCGCGGUAAUACGGGGGAGCCGAGCGUUAUCCGGAUUGAUUGGGUUUAAAGGGAGCGUAGAUGGGUUGUUAAGUCAGUUGUGAAAGUUUGCGGCUCAACCGUAAAAUUGCAAUUGAUACUGGCAGUCUUGAGUACAGUUGAGGUAGGCGGAAUUCGUGGUGUAGCGGUGAAAUGCUUAGAUAUCACGAAGAACCCCGAUUGCGAAGGCAGCUUACUAAACUGUGACUGACAUUGAUGCUCGAAAGUGUGGGUAUCAAACAGGAUUAGAUACCCGGGUAGUC